This 822-nucleotide ribosomal RNA is filed under the name Streptomyces sp. RNAcentral's name for it is "bacterial SSU rRNA". It matches the Rfam family "Bacterial small subunit ribosomal RNA", at positions 84 to 919 of the family's 1533-position model. The record is from RNAcentral. Lineage: Bacteria; Bacillati; Actinomycetota; Actinomycetes; Kitasatosporales; Streptomycetaceae.
UUAGGGGGUUAGUGGCGACGGGUGAGUAACACGUGGGCAAUCUGCCCUGCACUCUGGGACAAGCCCUGGAAACGGGGUCUAAUACCGGAUAAUACUGUGCCCCUCAUGGGGGAUGGUUGAAAGCUCCGGCGGUGCAGGAUGAGCCCGCGGCCUAUCAGCUUGUUGGUGGGGUGAUGGCCUACCAAGGCGACGACGGGUAGCCGGCCUGAGAGGGCGACCGGCCACACUGGGACUGAGACACGGCCCAGACUCCUACGGGAGGCAGCAGUGGGGAAUAUUGCACAAUGGGCGAAAGCCUGAUGCAGCGACGCCGCGUGAGGGAUGACGGCCUUCGGGUUGUAAACCUCUUUCAGCAGGGAAGAAGCGAGAGUGACGGUACCUGCAGAAGAAGCGCCGGCUAACUACGUGCCAGCAGCCGCGGUAAUACGUAGGGCGCAAGCGUUGUCCGGAAUUAUUGGGCGUAAAGAGCUCGUAGGCGGUUUGUCACGUCGGGUGUGAAAGCCCGGGGCUUAACCCCGGGUCUGCAUUCGAUACGGGCAGACUAGAGUGUGGUAGGGGAGAUCGGAAUUCCUGGUGUAGCGGUGAAAUGCGCAGAUAUCAGGAGGAACACCGGUGGCGAAGGCGGAUCUCUGGGCCAUUACUGACGCUGAGGAGCGAAAGCGUGGGGAGCGAACAGGAUUAGAUACCCUGGUAGUCCACGCCGUAAACGUUGGGAACUAGGUGUUGGCGACAUUCCACGUCGUCGGUGCCGCAGCUAACGCAUUAAGUUCCCCGCCUGGGGAGUACGGCCGCAAGGCUAAAACUCAAAGGAAUUGACGGGGG